UUCUACACCAAAAUAUAAUUUUAAUCCAACAUCGAGGUCGCAAACUAUAUUAUUAAUAAGAACUCUCCAAUAUAAUUACGCUGUUAUCCCUUAGGUAACUUAAACUUUUAAUCAUAAAAUAUGGAUCAAUAAAAUCAUAAAUAAAUGAAUAAAUAAAAAUAAAGUUUUUGAAAAUUAUCUGUCACCCCAACCAAAAUUAAAUAUAAAUUCACAUAUAUUAAACAAAUUAUAUAGAUAGAUACCUAAUUAAAAUUCUAAAGGGUCUUAUCGUCUAAUAAAAAAAUUAAAGCUUUUUAACCUUAAAAUAAAGUUUUAAAUAAAAAAUGAAAAAAGAAUAUACUUUAUCAAACCAUUCAUACAAGUUACCAAUUAAGUAACAAAUGAUUAUGCUACCUUUGCACAGUUAAAAUACUGCGGCCAUUAAAAAAUCAUUG
Molecule: ribosomal RNA, 434 nt
Filed under: Montandoniola moraguesi
Lineage: Eukaryota; Metazoa; Arthropoda; Insecta; Hemiptera; Anthocoridae
Description: partial 16S rRNA
Source: RNAcentral